UACGGGGGGAGCAAGCGUUGUUCGGAUUUACUGGGCGUAAAGGGCGCGUAGGCGGCCUGUGCAAGUCAGUUGUGAAAUCUCCGAGCUUAACUCGGAACGGUCAACUGAUACUGCUCGGCUAGAGUGCGGAAGGGGCAACUGGAAUUCUUGGUGUAGCGGUGAAAUGCGUAGAUAUCAAGAGGAACACCGAUGGCGAAGGCAGGUCUCUGGGCAUUAACUGACGCUGAGGAGCGAAAGCAUGGGGAGCGAACAGG
This 254-nucleotide ribosomal RNA is filed under the name uncultured bacterium. RNAcentral's name for it is "partial 16S ribosomal RNA". It matches the Rfam family "Bacterial small subunit ribosomal RNA", at positions 524 to 776 of the family's 1533-position model. The record is from RNAcentral.